AGAUUGAACGCUGGCGGCAUGCCUUACACAUGCAAGUCGAACGGCAGCACGGGGGCAACCCUGGUGGCGAGUGGCGAACGGGUGAGUAAUGCAUCGGAACGUGCCCAGUAGUGGGGGAUAACUAGUCGAAAGAUUAGCUAGUACCGCAUACGACCUAAGGGUGAAAGCGGGGGAUUCGCAAGAACCUCGCGCUAUCGGAGCGGCCGAUGUCUGAUUAGCUAGUUGGCGGGUAAAAGCCCACCAAGGCUUCGAUCAGUAGCUGGUCUGAGAGGACGACCAGCCACACUGGGACUGAGACACGGCCCAGACUCCUACGGGAGGCAGCAGUGGGAAUUUUGGACAAUGGGCGCAAGCCUGAUCCAGCCAUGCCGCGUGCGGGAAGAAGGCCUUCGGUUGUAAACCGCUUUUGGCAGGAACGAAACGGCGCGAGCGAAUAUCUCGCGUUAAUGACGGUACCUGCAGAAUAAGCACCGGCUAACUACGUGCCAGCAGCCG
Molecule: ribosomal RNA, 495 nt
Filed under: uncultured soil bacterium
Lineage: Bacteria
Description: bacterial SSU rRNA
Rfam family: Bacterial small subunit ribosomal RNA
Source: RNAcentral